Molecule: non-coding RNA, 96 nt
Organism: Ceratotherium simum simum (southern white rhinoceros)
Lineage: Eukaryota; Metazoa; Chordata; Mammalia; Perissodactyla; Rhinocerotidae
Source: RefSeq, a predicted model, not a curated record
UUUACUUUUUUGCAAAUCUCUUAUGUCUGGCUUAAUAGAAGGCAGCUGGAUUCUCGUAUCUGCUUCUGCAAUCAAUCUGUCACAAUAUGCUGGUCU